Molecule: ribosomal RNA, 202 nt
Filed under: uncultured bacterium
Lineage: Bacteria
Description: partial 16S ribosomal RNA
Rfam family: Bacterial small subunit ribosomal RNA
Source: RNAcentral
UGUAGUCUGCAACCCGACUACAUGAAGCUGGAAUCGCUAGUAAUCGCAGAUCAGAAUGCUGCGGUGAAUACGUUCCCGGGUCUUGUACACACCGCCCGUCACACCAUGGGAGUUGGAAAUGCCCGAAGCCAGUGACCCAACCGUAAGGAGGGAGCUGUCGAAGGUGGAGCCGAUGACUGGGGUGAAGUCGUAACAAGGUAAC